Chelonoidis abingdonii (Abingdon island giant tortoise) is the source of this 489-nucleotide non-coding RNA. NCBI's taxonomy places the organism in Eukaryota, Metazoa, Chordata, Testudines, Testudinidae. The record is from RefSeq and is a predicted model, not a curated record.
GUCCUUGUAGACCUCUUGGAAUUGAUUUUUCAGGAGGUCCUAGGAGGAGAGGUUGGGAACACAAUGAACCGAUUUGGAAGGAGAGACGAAACAAAGGUAACAUGCUAGAACAUUAGGAAAAAAAGUGGGAGGAGGACAUUACCAGAGCAGAUCAUCAAAGUUUAGGAGGAAAAAGUGGCUGGAGCAGAGAGGUAGUUCCAUUGGAUAACUUAGUUAGAUGAAUUGAAAGCCAAGUGCUGGGUUGUGCAGUCAGAGGAAUUAAAAUCCACGUGAUCAGAUUAGCAGUGUAUAGAAAAUAAGAUCAGAUUCAUCUUUAACAAAAGCUGUAGAGCUGCUCAUUUCUGACUGAAGCAAUUAGCUCAUUUUCACUGUUCUCUCUGGUUUAGGCAAUGAAUGUUUGAUUCCAAAUAAACUUUGUGUGCACAGUAAUAGUCACUACUGAGCAUCUUAACAGUAUAUUUGGAUAGUUUAGUAGUAAGUAGUACAAAU